UGGGGAAUCUUGGACAAUGGGGGCAACCCUGAUCCAGCCAUGCCGCGUGAGUGACGAAGGCCUUCGGGUUGUAAAGCUCUUUCGCCCACGACGAUGAUGACGGUAGUGGGAGAAGAAGCCCCGGCUAACUCCGUGCCAGCAGCCGCGGUAAUACGGAGGGGGCUAGCGUUGUUCGGAAUUACUGGGCGUAAAGCGCACGUAGGCGGCGUGUUUAGUCAGGGGUGAAAGGCCCGGGCUCAACCCGGGAACGGCCUUUGAUACUGGCACGCUUGAGUCCGAGAGGGGGUGGUGGAACUCCCAGUGUAGAGGUGAAAUUCGUAGAUAUUGGGAAGAACACCGGUGGCGAAGGCGACCACCUGGCUCGGAACUGACGCUGAGGUGCGAAAGCGUGGGGAGCAAACAGG
This 404-nucleotide ribosomal RNA is filed under the name uncultured prokaryote. Its description in RNAcentral is "bacterial SSU rRNA". It matches the Rfam family "Bacterial small subunit ribosomal RNA", at positions 355 to 776 of the family's 1533-position model. The record is from RNAcentral. RNAcentral also lists the same sequence under 1 other name.